CACAGUAAUUCUGGGAGCUGUGUAUUGUGACUGCGCCUUCAUUUCUGUUGGGAACUCGAAUACAUUCCUCUUCAAAAUGACUCUGCCCCAGACAUGCAUUAUCUAGGCACAACUUCCCUGAAGCAGUAAAGGAUGCAGUUGAUAAAUUUGCUGUGAAAUGUGGAAGCCCCUGGUUCAAUCAGGAGGUGAUGACCCAGGAUGAGGACAACAGAAGGACUGAGAACAACAAAGAGCUCCAGAAAUUAGAAGCAGAUAUUUCUUUUGGAACAUAAGGUUUACAGCUCUUCAGACAACUCCAGAAUCCAGAUCAAUGUGUUGUUCCUGUUACUCAGAGGAAUAUUUCUUCCUUUUCUGAUAUCGUAAGUCAGCUCUUGGUCUCAAACAGAUGUUA
Molecule: long non-coding RNA, 391 nt
Filed under: Dromaius novaehollandiae (emu)
Lineage: Eukaryota; Metazoa; Chordata; Aves; Casuariiformes; Dromaiidae
Description: lncRNA (ENSDNVG00000009653.1)
Source: RNAcentral